Panthera pardus (leopard) is the source of this 131-nucleotide unclassified non-coding RNA. Lineage: Eukaryota; Metazoa; Chordata; Mammalia; Carnivora; Felidae. The record is from Ensembl.
AGUGAGCCAGGAGCUUUAUUUAGUUGCGCAGAAACCCCAUGGCCUGGAUCAGGACUCCUAAGCCCAUGUCCUUACCAUCCAAGAGGACAAAAUCUUGUGAGCAAGAUCUACCCUCUCCGGGAAAAGAGCCA